Molecule: long non-coding RNA, 249 nt
Filed under: Elaeis guineensis (African oil palm)
Lineage: Eukaryota; Viridiplantae; Streptophyta; Magnoliopsida; Arecales; Arecaceae
Description: long non-coding RNA (EGUI_LNC018238)
Source: RNAcentral
CCCCUCCAGCACAAUCUUAUCGCCACAUAGCACCCUCGGGAUUUCUCCACUAGCUACUGUCCUGUAGCCUCUCGAAUCCAGUUUACUUAGUGAAAUAAGUUUUCGCUUGAAAUCGGAUAUGUAUCGGACCUCCCCCAAUCUCCUCACUACACCAUCAUGUGUCCUCCAACUGACCGUCCCAAUGCCUUUGAUCACAUAGCUCGAUCCAUCUGGCAGAUAUACAGUGACCUCACUAUUCUCCAGAGAGUC